AUUCUGCUCAUGCGGGGAAGGAUGAGAAGCUUCGACCAAGGUUCGACUCGAGCGCCAGCGAGAGAGCGUUGCCGCAGGCAACGACCCGAAGGGCGAAGCGCGCAGCGCUGAGUAAUCCUUCCCCCACCACCA
This 132-nucleotide small RNA is filed under the name Escherichia coli. RNAcentral's name for it is "RtT sRNA". It matches the Rfam family "RtT RNA". Rfam says of the family: This family represents a bacterial cis-regulatory element known as RtT RNA. The exact function of RtT is unknown although it is thought that it may be involved in changing the cellular response in relation to amino acid starvation. Lineage: Bacteria; Pseudomonadati; Pseudomonadota; Gammaproteobacteria; Enterobacterales; Enterobacteriaceae. The record is from RNAcentral.